GUAGUGCUAAUAUAUAUAUAUAGAGAGAGAGAGAGAGAGAGAGAGAGAAUUAUGCUACUAUACUAUCAAUAGUACCAAGCCCUUGGUACUAUUGAGUUUUUGGCCGUUGGAUGAAAGGAUGUGCGGUUAGGAUGAUAGUGGUCCCCGGUUAAAUUGAUAGUGGUUCUCUAGGGUUGAGUGGGUGGUUGGUUUAAUAGUAUAAUCUAACGGGUGGAAAUGAUCAAAAGAUAGAUCUAACGGUAGAAAACUCAAUAGUACCAAGGACUUGGUACUAUCAAUAGUAUAGUAGCUGGACUCUCUCUCUCUCUCUCUCUCUCUCUCUCUCUCUCUCUCUAU
This 336-nucleotide long non-coding RNA is filed under the name Ananas comosus (pineapple). RNAcentral's name for it is "long non-coding RNA (ACOM_LNC012741)". The record is from RNAcentral. Lineage: Eukaryota; Viridiplantae; Streptophyta; Magnoliopsida; Poales; Bromeliaceae.